GAUCCAGAACUUUGAUUAUUGGCUCAGGACGAACGCUGGCGGCAUGCCUAACACAUUGCAAGUCGAACGGAGUUGUUAUUUAGAAGUUCUUCGGGAUGGAAGAAAUAAGAGCUUAGUGGCGGACGGGUGAGUAACGCGUGGGUAACCUGCCCUUUUGUGGGGAACAACUUCGAGAAAUCGGAGCUAAUACCGCAUAAUAAUAGAGGGUCGCAUGAUUCUUUAAGGAAAGAUGGCCUCUGAAGAUGCUAUCGCAAAAGGAUGGACCCGCGUCUGAUUAGCUAGUUGGAAGGGUAACGGCCUACCAAGGCAACGAUCAGUAGCCGGCCUGAGAGGGUGAACGGCCACAUUGGGACUGAGACACGGCCCAAACUCCUACGGGAGGCAGCAGUGGGGAAUCUUCCGCAAUGGGCGAAAGCCUGACGGAGCAAUGCCGCGUGAGUGAAGAAGGCCUUCGGGUUGUAAAACUCUGUCCUUAUCGAAGAGAGGUAGGUAUGUGAAUAAUGUACCUAUAGGACGGUAGAUAAGGAGGAAGCCCCGGCUAACUACGUGCCAGCAGCCGCGGUAAUACGUAGGGGGCGAGCGUUGUCCGGAAUCACUGGGCGUAAAGGGCGCGUAGGCGGUUUGAUAAGUCAGUGGUGAAAACUGAGGGCUCAACCCUCAGCCUGCCACUGAUACUGUUAGACUUGAGUAUGGAAGAGGAGAAUGGAAUUCCUAGUGUAGCGGUGAAAUGCGUAGAUAUUAGGAGGAACACCAGUGGCGAAGGCGAUUCUCUGGGCCAAGACUGACGCUGAGGCGCGAAAGCGUGGGGAGCAAACAGGAUUAGAUACCCUGGUAGUCCACGCCGUAAACGAUGGAUACUAGGUGUUAGGGGUUUCGAUGCUCCUAGUGCCGGAGUAAACACAAUAAGUAUCCCGCCUGGGGAGUACGGUCGCAAGACUGCAACUCAAAUGAAUUGACGGA
This 960-nucleotide ribosomal RNA is filed under the name uncultured Bacillota bacterium. RNAcentral describes it as "bacterial SSU rRNA". It matches the Rfam family "Bacterial small subunit ribosomal RNA", at positions 1 to 917 of the family's 1533-position model. The record is from RNAcentral. Lineage: Bacteria; Bacillati; Bacillota.